GUGCCAGCAGCCGCGGUAAUACGGAGGAUCCAAGCGUUAUCCGGAUUUAUUGGGUUUAAAGGGUGCGUAGGCGGGCCCUUAAGUCAGUGGUGAAAGUUUGCAGCUUAACUGUAAAAUUGCCAUUGAAACUGAGGGUCUUGAGUGUAAAUAAGGUAGGCGGAAUGUGUUGUGUAGCGGUGAAAUGCUUAGAUAUAACACAGAACACCAAUUGCGAAGGCAGCUUACUGGGAUACAACUGACGCUGAGGCACGAAAGCGUGGGGAUCAAACAGGAUUAGAUACCCUGGUAGUCCACGCAGUAAACGAUGAAUACUAGCUGUAUGCGAUAUACUGUAUGUGGCACAGCGAAAGCGUUAAGUAUUCCACCUGGGGAGUACGUUCGCAAGAAUGAAACUCAAAGAAAUUGGCGG
Molecule: ribosomal RNA, 409 nt
Filed under: uncultured bacterium
Lineage: Bacteria
Description: bacterial SSU rRNA
Rfam family: Bacterial small subunit ribosomal RNA
Source: RNAcentral